GAUGAACGCUGGCGGCGUGCCUAAUACAUGCAAGUCGAGCGAACGGACGAGAAGCUUGCUUCUCUGAUGUUAGCGGCGGACGGGUGAGUAACACGUGGAUAACCUACCUAUAAGACUGGGAUAACUUCGGGAAACCGGAGCUAAUACCGGAUAAUAUUUUGAACCGCAUGGUUCAAAAGUGAAAGACGGUCUUGCUGUCACUUAUAGAUGGAUCCGCGCUGCAUUAGCUAGUUGGUAGGGUAACGGCUUACCAAGGCAACGAUGCAUAACCGACCUGAGAGGUGGAUCGGCCACACUGGAACUGAGACACGGUCCAGACUCCUACGGGAGGCAGCAGAAGGGAAUCUUCCGCAAUGGGCGAAAGCCUGACGGAGCAACGCCGCGUGAGUGAUGAAGUUCUUCGGAUCGUAAAACUCUGUUAUUAGGGAAGAACAUAUGUGUAAGUAACUGUGCACAUCUUGACGGUACCUAAUCAGAAAGCCACGGCUAACUACGUG
RNAcentral lists this ribosomal RNA (497 nucleotides) under uncultured bacterium. Its description in RNAcentral is "partial 16S ribosomal RNA". It matches the Rfam family "Bacterial small subunit ribosomal RNA", at positions 28 to 507 of the family's 1533-position model. The record is from RNAcentral.